RNAcentral lists this ribosomal RNA (301 nucleotides) under uncultured bacterium. Its description in RNAcentral is "partial 16S ribosomal RNA". It matches the Rfam family "Bacterial small subunit ribosomal RNA", at positions 509 to 807 of the family's 1533-position model. The record is from RNAcentral.
CAGCAGCCGCGGGAAUACGAAGGGGGCUAGCGUUGUUCGGAAUUACUGGGCGUAAAGGGCGCGUAGGCGGCCAUUCAAGUUAGAUGUGAAAGCCCUGGGCUCAACCUAGGAAUUGCAUUUGAUACUGUUUGGCUUGAGUUCGGGAGAGGUGAGUGGAAUUCCCAGUGUAGAGGUGAAAUUCGUAGAUAUUGGGAAGAACACCAGUGGCGAAGGCGGCUCACUGGACCGACACUGACGCUAAGGCGCGAAAGCGUGGGGAGCAAACAGGAUUAGAUACCCCCGUAGUCCCUGUCUCUUAUAC